UACGUAGGGAGCAAGCGUUGUCCGGAAUUAUUGGGCGUAAAGGGCUCGUAGGCGGUCUGUUGCGUCGGGAGUGAAAACUUACAGCUUAACUGUGAGCGUGCUUCCGAUACGGGCAGACUUGAGGUAUUCAGGGGAGAACGGAAUUCCUGGUGUAGCGGUGAAAUGCGCAGAUAUCAGGAGGAACACCGGUGGCGAAGGCGGUUCUCUGGGAAUAUCCUGACGCUGAGGAGCGAAAGUGUGGGGAGCGAACAGG
This 253-nucleotide ribosomal RNA is filed under the name uncultured bacterium. RNAcentral's name for it is "partial 16S ribosomal RNA". It matches the Rfam family "Bacterial small subunit ribosomal RNA", at positions 524 to 776 of the family's 1533-position model. The record is from RNAcentral.